AGCCGCCUCGUGAAAGGGGCACUCACAGUGUUGAGCGCCCACAGAGUGGCUCCCUGGGGCAGAGUCUCGCCUCAAUGCCUCCCGAAGGAACCCUGUAGCAGCAGCAGGACCACCCUCCGUGCUUGACAAAUGAGGCGCCUGGGGCUUGGAGAAGCUGGGGUUAUCAGGGUGACCAGCAUUAAAUCAUCCAGCGGUGGCUCCUGGCAUGAGUGAGUGGUGAGGAGGCUGUGGCUGCAGCCUUGAACCUCAGGAUAACCUUGUGUUCCUCGUACGCUAAGGGGAAACUGAGGCACGUGCCCCACCUGCUCACAGUCACGGGGCAGAGGCCAAUGGACCGACGGUGCCUCUCAGGCCCCGGGUCCGCACUGGCUCCUGUCUGCUGCCUUGCUGUGGGCAUGAGGAACGGACAUGCUUCCAGAGCAGGGUCUGCCCUAGGGGUCUCCUCCAGGCCAGGUGCCCUUCCCAGGAGUGGCGGCUCCAUCUGUCCAGUGCCGUCCACCUGGACACGCACCGCGUCCUGGCCACCUGAGCGAUUGUUAUUCUGCACACACAACACCCAGAGGCCUUCGGGAAUGGAGCCGUAUUAAUAACUGUGCACAAGCACCCACCGGGUAUGGAAAUUCACAGUGAAGUUAAUGAUGUCAUUAAUAUUGUGCCCGGCUCCGCAGCCGCCUAAGUGGGCCACCCGUUCCUUGGUGGCCAUUUUUCAAGCUGCAAUCUCGUGGUGUUCCUAGAAGAGCCGAGUGCCCGGCCGCUAACUAGUCCUCCACAGAUGCCUUUACGCCGAUAAUGAUGUUUCCUGAUGAAGUCGCCCCUGCUUCCCGGAAAAGCGCUCCUCCA
Non-coding RNA from Macaca mulatta (Rhesus monkey), 840 nucleotides. Lineage: Eukaryota; Metazoa; Chordata; Mammalia; Primates; Cercopithecidae. The record is from RefSeq and is a predicted model, not a curated record.